UCCUGGCUGACUCAAUAGGUAGAGCAUGUGACUCUUGAUCUUGGGGUUGUGAGUUCAAGCCUCACGUUGGGUG
RNAcentral lists this transfer RNA (73 nucleotides) under Felis catus (domestic cat). It matches the Rfam family "tRNA". Rfam says of the family: Transfer RNA (tRNA) molecules are approximately 80 nucleotides in length. Their secondary structure includes four short double-helical elements and three loops (D, anti-codon, and T loops). Further hydrogen bonds mediate the characteristic L-shaped molecular structure. tRNAs have two regions of fundamental functional importance: the anti-codon, which is responsible for specific mRNA codon recognition, and the 3' end, to which the tRNAs corresponding amino acid is attached (by aminoacyl-tRNA synthetases). tRNAs cope with the degeneracy of the genetic code in two manners: having more than one tRNA (with a specific anti-codon) for a particular amino acid; and 'wobble' base-pairing, i.e. permitting non-standard base-pairing at the 3rd anti-codon position. Lineage: Eukaryota; Metazoa; Chordata; Mammalia; Carnivora; Felidae. The record is from Rfam by way of RNAcentral. RNAcentral also lists the same sequence under 2 other names.